GGGUCGAUGGCGUAGCUGGUUAUCGCAUCUGUCUAACAUCAUGCAUUCAGCCUAAGCGGUGUUCACAGAAGGUCCUCAGUUCGAACCUGGGUCGACUCA
Non-coding RNA from Armillaria novae-zelandiae, 99 nucleotides. The record is from the annotation of a GenBank genome assembly. NCBI's taxonomy places the organism in Eukaryota, Fungi, Basidiomycota, Agaricomycetes, Agaricales, Physalacriaceae.